Long non-coding RNA from Oncorhynchus kisutch (coho salmon), 308 nucleotides. RefSeq lists it as uncharacterized. The record is from RefSeq and is a predicted model, not a curated record. The transcript is spliced from 3 exons. NCBI's taxonomy places the organism in Eukaryota, Metazoa, Chordata, Actinopteri, Salmoniformes, Salmonidae.
AUUCUCCACUCCAUUGCAAACCCGAACAGUACUGUCGCGAUUUGAAUAUCGUGCUGCUUUUCAAAUUCAAGUGGAAGGGCAGCUACUCUUCGGAUCGUGGUCGCUUUUACACUGCCUGUUAGUGUACCAUGGCUUCUAAGCCCCAUCCUCCUUUGAUGAAGAAACACAGUCAGUCAGACCUGGUGAGCCGGCUGAAGACCAGGAAGAUACUUGGGGUUGGAGGAGAGGAUGACGAUGGAGAGGUGCAUAGGUCAAAGGACAAUGACCCAACACACCUCCAGGUUGUGUAAUGGCUAUUUGACCAAGAA